GCGGGUAUGGCGGAAUUGGCAGACGCGCUAGAUUCAUGUUCUAGUGGGGGCAACUUCUUGGAGGUUCAAGUCCUCUUACCCGCACCA
RNAcentral lists this transfer RNA (87 nucleotides) under Oscillospiraceae bacterium. RNAcentral's name for it is "tRNA-Met". It matches the Rfam family "tRNA". From Rfam's summary of the family: Transfer RNA (tRNA) molecules are approximately 80 nucleotides in length. Their secondary structure includes four short double-helical elements and three loops (D, anti-codon, and T loops). Further hydrogen bonds mediate the characteristic L-shaped molecular structure. tRNAs have two regions of fundamental functional importance: the anti-codon, which is responsible for specific mRNA codon recognition, and the 3' end, to which the tRNAs corresponding amino acid is attached (by aminoacyl-tRNA synthetases). tRNAs cope with the degeneracy of the genetic code in two manners: having more than one tRNA (with a specific anti-codon) for a particular amino acid; and 'wobble' base-pairing, i.e. permitting non-standard base-pairing at the 3rd anti-codon position. Lineage: Bacteria; Bacillati; Bacillota; Clostridia; Eubacteriales; Oscillospiraceae. The record is from RNAcentral.